GGAUCCUUCGGGACCUCGCGCCUGAAGAGAAGCUCGCGGCGGAUUAGCUAGUUGGUAGGGUAAUGGCCUACCAAGGCGACGAUCCGUAGCCGGCCUGAGAGGGCGGUCGGCCACACUGACACUGACACACGGGUCAGACUCCUACGGGAGGCAGCAGUCGGGAAUUUUGGGCAAUGGGCGAAAGCCUGACCCAGCAACGCCGCGUGAAGGAUGAAGUCCCUCGGGGUAUAAACUUCACAAGAAUGGGAAGAAUAAGAUCGGGCUAACACCCCUGUCGAUGACGGUACCAUUUGUAAGCUCCGGCUAACUCCGUGCCAGCAGCCGCGGUAAUACGGGGGGAGCAAGCGUUGUUCGGAUUUACUGGGCGUAAAGGGCGCGUAGGCGGCGCAACAAGUCGGUUGUGAAAUCUCCGGGCUUAACUCGGAGCGGCCAACCGAUACUGUCGUGCUAGAGUGCGGAAGGGGCAACUGGAAUUCUCGGUGUAGCGGUGAAAUGCGUAGAUAUCGAGAGGAACACCUGCGGCGAAGGCGGGUUGCUGGGCCGACACUGACGCUGAGGCGCGAAAGCUAGGGGAGCGAACG
Molecule: ribosomal RNA, 581 nt
Filed under: uncultured soil bacterium
Lineage: Bacteria
Description: bacterial SSU rRNA
Rfam family: Bacterial small subunit ribosomal RNA
Source: RNAcentral